UAAAACAACCUCUAAUCUUCAACAAAUCAUCAAACAUUUUUCUCAUCUUCAGUAAUCAAACCGAUUCAACAAACCCCUCUCAAAAUGAAGUUCUUCGCUGUAUUGUUCGCUGCCUUCUUCGCCAUGAGCAUGGCUAGCCCCGUGGAGCUGGAGGAGCGACAGGACUUCAUCAACACUAUCAUCGAGAUGGUCAAAGGAUUUAUUUGCGGCAUGGACAGCCUUCCAUUCGACAACCCUAUGCUCCAGAUGGUAUUCAACAUGGUCAAAGGAUUCCUGCAAUGCCCCGAAGGACAAGAAUAAGAUAUAUUCACUUUUAGUGUUACGUCAUGUUUUGAGUCAAUAAAACAGCUAUGAAAAAUGUUUUAAAAA
Molecule: long non-coding RNA, 369 nt
Organism: Bolinopsis microptera
Lineage: Eukaryota; Metazoa; Ctenophora; Tentaculata; Lobata; Bolinopsidae
Exons: 2
Source: RefSeq, a predicted model, not a curated record